RNAcentral lists this non-coding RNA (85 nucleotides) under unclassified sequences. RNAcentral describes it as "c-di-GMP sequence". It matches the Rfam family "c-di-GMP-II-GAG riboswitch aptamer". The record is from Rfam by way of RNAcentral.
GGUCUGGCGGGAGGCUCUGACACGCGGUCCAAACCCCGGCCGCCGGGACCGCGCCGAGCCACUGGCGAGACGGACCCGUCUGAUC